AUUGAACGCUGGCGGCAGGCCUAACACAUGCAAGUCGAGCGAGAAAGCACUUCGGUGCGAGUACAGCGGCGAACGGGUGAGUAACGCGUAGGAAUCUACCCAGUAGUGGGGGACAACAGUCGGAAACGGCUGCUAAUACCGCAUACGCCCCAAGGGGGAAAGCGGGGGAUCUUCGGACCUCGCGCUAUUGGAUGAGCCUGCGUCGGAUUAGCUUGUUGGUGAGGUAAAAGCUCACCAAGGCGACGAUCCGUAGCUGGUCUGAGAGGAUGAUCAGCCACACUGGAACUGAGACACGGUCCAGACUCCUACGGGAGGCAGCAGUGGGGAAUAUUGCGCAAUGGGGGAAACCCUGACGCAGCCAUGCCGCGUGUGUGAAGAAGGCCUUAGGGUUGUAAAGCACUUUCAAUAGAGAGGAAAAGCUUGUCGCUAAUACCGGCAAGCCAUGACGUUACCUAUAGAAGAAGCACCGGCUAACUCCG
RNAcentral lists this ribosomal RNA (479 nucleotides) under uncultured Alteromonadales bacterium. Its description in RNAcentral is "bacterial SSU rRNA". It matches the Rfam family "Bacterial small subunit ribosomal RNA", at positions 30 to 505 of the family's 1533-position model. Lineage: Bacteria; Pseudomonadati; Pseudomonadota; Gammaproteobacteria; Alteromonadales. The record is from RNAcentral.